This 65-nucleotide transfer RNA is filed under the name Marmota monax (woodchuck). RNAcentral's name for it is "tRNA.Ala". It matches the Rfam family "tRNA", at positions 6 to 65 of the family's 71-position model. Rfam says of the family: Transfer RNA (tRNA) molecules are approximately 80 nucleotides in length. Lineage: Eukaryota; Metazoa; Chordata; Mammalia; Rodentia; Sciuridae. The record is from RNAcentral.
GAUAUAGCUCAAUGGUAGAGUGCCUGACUAGCACACAUAAGGCCUUGGGUUCCAUCCCCAGUACA